UAGGCCUAACACAUGCAAGUCGAACGAUGAACUUCCCUUCGGGGAGGGGAUUAGUGGCGAACGGGUGAGUAACACGUGAGGAAUCUGCCUUCCACUCUGGGAUAACUCCGGGAAACCGGGGCUAAUACCGGAUACUUUCAACUGGCGGCAUCGCCGGUUGAAGAAAGUUUUUCGGUGGAAGAUGACCUCGCGGCCUAUCAGCUUGUUGGUGAGGUAAUGGCUCACCAAGGCGACGACGGGUAGCCGGCCUGAGAGGGCGACCGGCCACACUGGGACUGAGACACGGCCCAGACUCCUACGGGAGGCAGCAGUGGGGAAUACUGGGCAAUGGAGGAAACUCUGACCCAGCGACGCCGCGUGAGGGACGAAAGGGUUCGGGUUGUAAACCUCUUUCAGCAGGGAAUAAGGAAAGGAA
This 415-nucleotide ribosomal RNA is filed under the name uncultured bacterium. Its description in RNAcentral is "bacterial SSU rRNA". It matches the Rfam family "Bacterial small subunit ribosomal RNA", at positions 43 to 458 of the family's 1533-position model. The record is from RNAcentral.